Pezoporus flaviventris is the source of this 2993-nucleotide long non-coding RNA. RefSeq lists it as uncharacterized. The record is from RefSeq and is a predicted model, not a curated record. The transcript is spliced from 4 exons. NCBI's taxonomy places the organism in Eukaryota, Metazoa, Chordata, Aves, Psittaciformes, Psittacidae.
UUUUUUUUUGGUUCAUGUAUAGGUGACUGCACUCCUCACAAGGCUGAUAGGGUCAGUCCUUUUCAGCUGUGGCAUGCAUUGAGCAUGUGUGUAGUAACAGCAGUGAGUAAACACAUACUAGUUGGUAUAGUGGAACCUCUGUAUUUCUGUCACAGGAAACUUCUUUUAGAGGAAAGACCUCGUAACUGAACAUUCUGGACUAUUUUUUGACUCUCCAUAGUAUUUUGUGGCUCACAGGAACUUUACAUUUCUGUCAGCCUUUCAGAAUGUCCAGGUUACACCUCCCACUAGUAAAAUUUGUGAAGUAAACACUAGUUUUUUUUGAAAGACAAACAUGGACUGAGAGAUUUCCAGUUUGGCUCCCUUGGGAUAAGGUGCUCCUCUGUGUUUGGUGCUUCCAUUGGUAGUUUGGAUAUAAGUCCAUAUACAGUGGUCAGGGAGGGAGACAGGAUUUGAAACAUGUAUAUUUGUUUGGACAUUGGGUAUUGAUAAUACAUCAAAACCUUGCUUGAGGGUUCAUUGGUACAAAGGAACACACUCGUCUCAUGUGUUCACUCCCUACUUACCCAUUGCUCCUGUAACAGUGAAAUGUAUCGAGUGGGCUGAGGGUGAGAGUGGGGUGCCUUGUUUUUACUUAAAGGAAGAAAAAACCCACCAGCAAAUCUAGCUUGUGGUAAUUGCGCAGUGUUUCCCAGUGAAGGUGAAGUUUAUGGAUGUGAGUUUUAUACCCUGUAUUUCCUUCAGUUCCAUAUGCUGAAAAACACUUGCUAAGUUUUCAUACAGUUGCAGUAACACUACCUCCAUAUGUGGGUUUAGAAAGCACGUGUUGGAGAAGUGGUCAACGUAGUGCUGGAUUGCAAUAGUGCUAAUGCAGCUGAUGGCGAUCCUACUGGUUUUGUGUGUUUUAAUGUUGGAAAGAGCCAGUUAGAAACUCUUUGUUUGCAAGAAUUAAGUUUCUUAAACUACAUCUGAUGAAUUUUUGUUCUUUGUAACACUGGAGACUUUCUUCUGUUGAAGUUACAAUGUUUAUAAUUGGUGUCUUGCUCUGUCAAUGUACGGAUUGUAUCUUAAGCCUUGUAUUUAAUGCUUUAAUGUGUUCUGUAAAAUCUUCUCUUGAAAUGUCAACACCUUGUCCAUGACACAGUGUCAAUGCUUAAUGCAUAUGUAGACUGUUAAUACUUUUGGUUUGACCUGAUGAUUGCUCUUGGAGCAUUUUCUCCCACUUGGUGUGCUAUCUUUUGUGUGUGGUACUUACUCAGGAAAUAACCUCUGGAACAUCUGUGUAUGCCAGACGCAAAGGAGAUACUUCUUCAGACGUUAUGCUGGACUUCAAAACGCAACAAAUGAAACCAGUGACGUUUGCUAAAUCUUUUCUCCCCAUUAUUGCAAAUAUCUGUCAGUUAAAUAUAUAAGGGACCUUAAGGGCUUAGAGAGACUUUGAAAACAAAUUGUAUGUACAGGAUCUUUCUCAUGGCUCACUCUUUUUGAGAAGGUUUAUGGGCUUUAUGGCUGGUGUGAGACACACGACCCACUCCUGUUCUCUCUAUGGAAUAGUAGGUGCUCGGACAGGAGCCAAAAAAAGUCAAACAAUCCAGAGAAAACCUUCCCUUCUCCCCUUUCUGAUGGCGAGAGUGAGAACUCAUGAAAAGUCCUUGAGAAUGUUCCUUCCUAAACUUUUCCCCCCAGUAAUGCAAGCGGGUAAAAUGGUAAAUGCAGCAGUUUGGUGACAUCCAAACCCCACCUGUUGUCAGACACACCCACUUCUUGCGUCUCAGCACUGGGCAGGCCUUUUCCUUUAUUUGUGUAUAUUUUUGUGCAACAGCUGCUAUAGGACACGGGUGUAACACUUUCAGGCAUGUGUUGGGUGUCUUUGGGGAAGAGAUUUGUGGGUUUGUAACAAUGUCUAAAAAAACAAUUUCUUUUCCUCAGAUUUGUGAACAAAUUGAUGUUAGCUCACAGUUUUGCAUCUCUUAACCUGAUUUCAUAUAUGUUACGCGAAGGUUUGUUCUUGAAAGACAGUGCUAGUUCUUUGCAGUGUCUUCACAUGAUCUUUGGUGGGGAGAGUUGAUAAAAAUUUCAUUCUGCAGAAGUUACUAACUUAAUAUUUAAUGUUGGUUGAAAGGUAGUUUUACAGAUCGUACUCUUCCCUCUUUAUGUAGUGGCUUUCAAAGCCUUGUGUUGAUCUUGGUUGUGCCCAGUGCUUUGCCUAGUGUAUGGGGGAAAUGUUGCAGAACUUGAAUAAGCCGUGACAUCUUAGAUGGUGUAGAUGAUGAUUAUGUGCAUGCUGAACAAGAACUUCUUCUAUAUGCCCUUCUGCUGCAACAGAGUAAUAAAACUGGUAGGUGGCAGCAGCAGCAGAAGAAACUCAUGUGACUGACCUGAGAAACCUCCAGUACUGGGAGAAAUGGAUUGCAAAAUGCUAACUCAACUAAGGGGGACGGAAGAGAAAGGCAGAGUCCCUGAACUGCCCCUUUGAAUGGAAUUUAAUGCUUGAGAAAGAUGCUGGACCAACAGUUGCAGAGAUUGAACUCCUCUACCCACAGGAAAGGUAACAGGAAUUAGAAUUUGUCUUUAGAACAGUCUUCACUGCAUCUCUCUCUUUGACCUGGAAAGGCCUUUUCCAAAGUCAGGAGUUUGAUACCCAUGGCUCAGUCCUUGGUGCAUGUGUAAUGUUAUCCAGGAAAAUAGAUAGGUGCUAGUUAGAGAUCUUUUUCUAAUGAUGUCUGCUCGAAUUUCUGAUAUUACUGUUUUGUGAAAAAAGACUAACUUCUUCAAUGAUUUGUUUCUCUAGGUUUUUCUACACCACAGGAGAUCUUCUCUUCUCUUGUACGGGGACACUUGCCUCUUGAUAUAACACCCCCUUCACAAUGAAGUGAAGAAAGGAUAGACCAGCGGCAGUGUCGAAUGGGGUGAUGUCCACACUUGGGGUUAAUAGUCGUAAUAAACACUGUCCUCCUAACAUGGAGAAAUGAAUAAAACAAUUUAAUUCUUAA